AGAAUCAACGCUGGCGGCGUGCCUAACACAUGCAAGUCGAACGAGAAAGUGGAGCAAUCCAUGAGUAAAGUAGGCGCACGGGUGAGUAACACGUGACUAACCUACCCUUGAGUGGGGAAUAACUUCGGGAAACCGAGGCUAAUACCGCAUAACACCUACGGGUCAAAGGAGCAAUUCGCUUAAGGAGGGGGUCGCGGCAGAUUAGUUAGUUGGCGGGGUAAUGGCCCACCAAGACGGUGAUCUGUAUCCGGCCUGAGAGGGCGCACGGACACACUGGAACUGAAACACGGUCCAGACUCCUACGGGAGGCAGCAGUGGGGAAUUUUGCGCAAUGGGGGAAACCCUGACGCAGCAACGCCGCGUGGAGGAUGAAGUCCCUUGGGACGUAAACUCCUUUCGAUCGGGACGAUUAUGACGGUACCGGAAGAAGAAGCCCCGGCUAACUUCGUGCCAGCAGCCGC
Molecule: ribosomal RNA, 461 nt
Filed under: uncultured bacterium
Lineage: Bacteria
Description: SSU rRNA
Rfam family: Bacterial small subunit ribosomal RNA
Source: RNAcentral